RNAcentral lists this ribosomal RNA (253 nucleotides) under uncultured bacterium. RNAcentral's name for it is "partial 16S ribosomal RNA". It matches the Rfam family "Bacterial small subunit ribosomal RNA", at positions 524 to 776 of the family's 1533-position model. The record is from RNAcentral.
UACAGAGGGUGCAAGCGUUAAUCGGAAUUACUGGGCGUAAAGCGUGCGCAGGCGGUUCGCUAAGACCGAUGUGAAAUCCCCGGGCUUAACCUGGGAACUGCAUUGGUGACUGGCGGGCUAGAGUAUGGCAGAGGGGGGUAGAAUUCCACGUGUAGCAGUGAAAUGCGUAGAGAUGUGGAGGAAUACCGAUGGCGAAGGCAGCCCCCUGGGCCAAUACUGACGCUCAUGCACGAAAGCGUGGGGAGCAAACAGG